Molecule: ribosomal RNA, 326 nt
Filed under: uncultured eukaryote
Lineage: Eukaryota
Description: partial 18S ribosomal RNA
Rfam family: Eukaryotic small subunit ribosomal RNA
Source: RNAcentral
CCCUUAGAUGUUCUGGGCCGCACGCGCGCUACACUGAUGCAUUCAACGAGCCUAGCCUUGACCGAGAGGUCCGGGUAAUCUUUGAAACUGCAUCGUGAUUGGGCUAGAUUAUUGCAAUUAUUAAUCUUCAACGAGGAAUGCCUAGUAAGCGUGAUUCAUCAAAUCGCGUUGAUUACGUCCCUGCCCUUUGUACACACCGCCCGUCGCUCCUACCGAUUGAGUGUGUUGGUGAGGAGUUUGGAUUGGCCUCGGAAGGUGGUUCGCCACCGUCCGUAGCUGAGAAGUUCUCCAAACCGCCCCACUUAGAGGAAGGAGAAGUCGUAACA